Molecule: long non-coding RNA, 681 nt
Organism: Zonotrichia leucophrys gambelii
Lineage: Eukaryota; Metazoa; Chordata; Aves; Passeriformes; Passerellidae
Exons: 4
Source: RefSeq, a predicted model, not a curated record
GAGGAAGAAGGCACUUGUAUAGCAUGACUCUUGGAUGGCAGAACUCACUGCGCAGGAAAUACUUCAUACUAACACAUCAGUGGUGAUUUCUGAGCUGUCUGAGAUUCCCUGAGUUUCUACAUGUGCCUGCUGGACCUUGUUCUGUUGCCCCCUCCAGAAAAGGAAGCUCUCAUUGAAGGUGAAAGACUGAAGCCAAAAUGCAGCACAUACCAGACCAGCUGUGAUGCAGUCAGAAUCAGGAGUGGUUAGACUUCACCUGGAGCUUUGAAUCUGCUACUGUCUUUGAAGUAAUUAAUUUAUUCUUUGAGUUCAUUUGGCUCAUUCUCUCACCUUGAGGUCCUGAGUGCCCUGUUUGCAGGCUGCACCAACCUGCCAUCAUAUUGGCAGCAUGAGAAAAAAUGUAUAUUAGGAGAGGAGCAAAGGAGAGAGAAUAAAAUUAAUUUGAUCCACUCUCUAAAAUGAUGACACUUUAACAGAAGUAACUUAUGCAAGGGAUUGCAUGAACAUGAGUACUUCAUGCGUGAGUUCCUAUGGGGAUUGACUUGCUGCAGCCAAGGACAGAAUGGCUAUUUUGCCUUUUGGCUGCUGUUAUCUCAGUAUCACAUCCAGAGUCUAAGCCACACAGCUCAGCUCCCUCCCCCACAUUUUUAUUUCUCUCUUUUCUAUCAUCCUUUCAUUACA